AUGGCCUGUCUCCCCAUGUCACAAAGGCCACUACUAAAAGAAGAGUUUGAUCAUGCCACUUGGCACCUGCUUGUGACCAGUUCUGAGGUUUGGAGUGCACGGAGUAGAGUAGGAGCACAGCAGUCGAGAGAUCUUCUGAAUUACCCAGCUACCUCAAUUAGUGCCUCCCUCUUCCAGGCCUCACAUUGGAGAACACUUUACAGAAGCAGAGCAAGUGACACUGUAAAAAUGCUUUGCCUAUCUCCACAGCUGUAAUUGUCAUUCCAUCAGGGUUCUAAGAAAGCAGAACCAUCUGGGGAAAUCAGCAUUGCUUCGCUCAGUCUCUGCCGGAAUUAAAAUGAUCUGAUGUGAAGAUGAAGGAGAAAAAAACUCCAAAAUACCUUGCUGUGGGAAUUUACCAGGAAUUUACCAGGGCUGUUGACCAGUAUCUACAGUCCAGUGUGAAAGAAAAAUUUUAUUUAAAUCCUGGAAUGUAAACUAGAGUUAUAAAAAAGGAAGGAGAGAGUUUGAUUCUAUUUUAAUAGAACAGAAAUUGCUGUCCUGAAAGUGUUGUGCAUGUGUACUCUAACAAAAGCCAAUGAAUUGUUUCUAGUUAUAAAGAUGCCAGGAUGAGGCUAGCAUGCAUUAUUAUCAGUGAAAAAAAUAUUAAUUCUCAUUCCUAAAAUAUGACUUCAUAUUCCCAGGAUUGACGAGAUGAAGGAUAUGCAGUAAAUUAGUCCAACAUCCUCUUACCUCUAGGUCUGAACCCUGCUUAGAUCAUUGUUUGAAAUAAAUUGCUGUCUUUAUCUGAAGCA
RNAcentral lists this long non-coding RNA (794 nucleotides) under Phasianus colchicus (ring-necked pheasant). RNAcentral's name for it is "lncRNA (ENSPCLG00000003367.1)". The record is from RNAcentral. Lineage: Eukaryota; Metazoa; Chordata; Aves; Galliformes; Phasianidae.